CUUUUCCGUCUCAGGAAAACAGCGUGCUUGGUGGGUUUGAGAGAACUUCUGUUUUUCUGUCCUCCAUGUUUGAGGCGGAGAAAGAACAUUUUGUUCUUGAGGUGAUGAUGGAUUGAAUGUAAAGUUACGCACAAAGUGGGAUGUUUAGUUGGAACUGUUCCCUCAGGAAAUACGAUUUUUUGGGCGUGGGGGACAGGGUUUCGCUCUGUCGCCUAGGCCUGAGUGCAGUGGCGCAAUAACGGCUCACUGCAGUCUGGAACUCCAAGGGAUCUUCCCACCUCAGCCUCCGAGUAGCUGGAACUACAGGCGCGCGCGACCAUGCUUGGCUUAUUUUUAUUUUGUAGAGAGGAGGUCUCACCAUGUUGCCCAGCCUAGUCUGGAACUCCUGGGUUCAAGCGAUCCUCCAUCUCGGCCUCCCAAAGUGCCAGGAUUACAGGCAACCGCACCGAGCCAGGAAGUGAUUAAUUUUUUUUUAAGUCACUUCACAUUCCAGAAACAUUAAUCUCGACAACUCUAGGUUG
This 521-nucleotide long non-coding RNA is filed under the name Homo sapiens (human). RNAcentral describes it as "non-protein coding lnc-FANCM-1:3". The record is from RNAcentral. Lineage: Eukaryota; Metazoa; Chordata; Mammalia; Primates; Hominidae.